RNAcentral lists this ribosomal RNA (253 nucleotides) under uncultured bacterium. RNAcentral describes it as "partial 16S ribosomal RNA". It matches the Rfam family "Bacterial small subunit ribosomal RNA", at positions 524 to 776 of the family's 1533-position model. The record is from RNAcentral.
UACGGAGGGUGCGAGCGUUAUCCGGAUUCACUGGGUUUAAAGGGUGCGUAGGUGGGUUUGUAAGUCAGUGGUGAAAUCUCCAGGCUUAACCUGGAAACUGCCAUUGAUACUACAGGUCUUGAAUUUUCUGGAGGUAAGCGGAAUAUGUCAUGUAGCGGUGAAAUGCUUAGAUAUGACAUAGAACACCAAUUGCGAAGGCAGCUUGCUACAGGAACAUUGACACUGAGGCACGAAAGCGUGGGGAUCAAACAGG